RNAcentral lists this ribosomal RNA (450 nucleotides) under uncultured Acaulospora. Its description in RNAcentral is "SSU rRNA". It matches the Rfam family "Eukaryotic small subunit ribosomal RNA", at positions 569 to 1021 of the family's 1831-position model. Lineage: Eukaryota; Fungi; Glomeromycota; Glomeromycetes; Diversisporales; Acaulosporaceae. The record is from RNAcentral.
AGCAGCCGCGGUAAUUCCAGCUCCAAUAGCGUAUAUUAAAGUUGUUGCAGUUAAAAAGCUCGUAGUUGAAUUUCGGGGUUCAUACGUUGGUCGGGCUUUUUAGUCUGUACUAGCGUAAUGGAUUCCUACCUUCUGAAUAACCGGCAUGUCAUUAAUUUGGUGCGCCGGGGAAGCAGGACUGUUACCUUGAAAAAAUUAGAGUGCUUAAAGCAGGCUAUCGCCUGAAUACAUUAGCAUGGAAUAAUGAAAUAGGACGGCAUGGUUCUAUUUUGUUGGUUUCUAGGAUCACCGUAAUGAUUAAUAGGGAUAGUUGGGGGCAUUAGUAUUCAAUUGUCAGAGGUGAAAUUCUUGGAUUUAUUGAAGACUAACUUCUGCGAAAGCAUUUGCCAAGGAUGUUUUCAUUAAUCAAGAACGAAAGUUAGGGGAUCGAAGACGAUCAGAUACCGUCGU